CACACGACUCUCGGCAACGGAUAUCUCGGCUCUCGCAUCGAUGAAGAACGUAGCGAAAUGCGAUACCUGGUGUGAAUUGCAGAAUCCCGCGAACCAUCGAGUCUUUGAACGCAAGUUGCGCCCGAGGCCUCUUGGCCGAGGGCACGCCUGCCUGGGAGUCACGC
This 164-nucleotide ribosomal RNA is filed under the name Poa compressa. RNAcentral describes it as "5.8S ribosomal RNA". It matches the Rfam family "5.8S ribosomal RNA". From Rfam's summary of the family: 5.8S ribosomal RNA (5.8S rRNA) is a component of the large subunit of the eukaryotic ribosome. It is transcribed by RNA polymerase I as part of the 45S precursor that also contains 18S and 28S rRNA. The record is from RNAcentral. Lineage: Eukaryota; Viridiplantae; Streptophyta; Magnoliopsida; Poales; Poaceae. RNAcentral also lists the same sequence under 2 other names.